RNAcentral lists this long non-coding RNA (381 nucleotides) under Selaginella moellendorffii. RNAcentral describes it as "long non-coding RNA (SMOE_LNC002199)". Lineage: Eukaryota; Viridiplantae; Streptophyta; Lycopodiopsida; Selaginellales; Selaginellaceae. The record is from RNAcentral.
UGUCCAUUAUAACGCUUCCAAGGUUCUCAAACUCGAGCGAGAUAUGGAAUCAGGUUCUUGGCAUGGACACUUGCGCCGAUACAAUCGUAGGCAAUGCUCUUCAGCGAGGAAUAUCUGGAGGACAGAAAAGAAGACUCACAGCAGGUCAGCAUCACCAAUAUCCAAAAACUUUAAUAUUAACCAUGAACAAUCACUUACAGGAGAAGUGCUGGCUGGUCCCGCAAGAAUUUUGUUCAUGGAUGAGAUUUCUACGGGACUGGACAGCUCCACCACGUACCGAAUUAUCAGUUUCCUGCAGCAAACCGUGAAAGCUUUGAGCAAAACGAUGCUGAUCUCGCUGCUGCAACCACCCCCAGAGGUUUUCGAGCUGUUUGACGAUCU